RNAcentral lists this ribosomal RNA (484 nucleotides) under uncultured bacterium. RNAcentral describes it as "bacterial SSU rRNA". It matches the Rfam family "Bacterial small subunit ribosomal RNA", at positions 29 to 533 of the family's 1533-position model. The record is from RNAcentral.
AACGAACGCUGGCGGCAGGCUUAACACAUGCAAGUCGAACGCCCCGCAAGGGGAGUGGCAGACGGGUGAGUAACACGUGGGAAUGUGCCCCAAGGUACGGAACAACGCCGGGAAACUGGCGCUAAUACCGUAUGUGGCCGAAAGGCGAAAGAUUUAUCGCCUUGGGAUCAGCCCGCGUUGGAUUAGCUAGUUGGUGGGGUAAAAGCCUACCAAGGCGACGAUCCAUAGCUGGUCUGAGAGGACGACCAGCCACACUGGGACUGAGACACGGCCCAGACUCCUACGGGAGGCAGCAGUGGGGAAUUUUGGACAAUGGGGGCAACCCUGAUCCAGCAACGCCGCGUGAAUGAAGAAGGCCUUAGGGUUGUAAAGUUCUUUUGUCUGGGGACAAGAGCCACUGGGUAAUAUACAGUGGAGAUGAGGGUACCAGAAGAAUAAGCACCGGCUAACUACGUGCCAGCAGCCGCGGUAAGGUCCGUCAUGU